UACGGAGGGGGCAAGCGUUGUCCGGAUUUAUUGGGUUUAAAGGGUGCGUAGGCGGCUUUGUAAGUCAGUGGUGAAAUAUGGCAGCUCAACUGUCAAGGUGCCAUUGAUACUGCAGAGCUUGAGUACAGAUGAGGUAGGCGGAAUUGACGGUGUAGCGGUGAAAUGCUUAGAUAUCGUCAAGAACACCUAUAGCGAAGGCAGCUUACUAGGCUGUAACUGACGCUGAGGCACGAAAGCCAGGGGAGCAAACGGG
Molecule: ribosomal RNA, 253 nt
Filed under: uncultured bacterium
Lineage: Bacteria
Description: partial 16S ribosomal RNA
Rfam family: Bacterial small subunit ribosomal RNA
Source: RNAcentral